CAAUAGCGUAUAUUAAAGUUGUUGCGGUUAAAAAGCUCGUAGUUGGAUUUCUGCCGAGGACGACCGGUCCGCCCUCUGGGUGAGUAUCUGGCUCGGCCUGGGCAUCUUCUUGGAGAACGUAGCUGCACUUGACUGUGUGGUGCGGUAUCCAGGACUUUUACUUUGAGGAAAUUAGAGUGUUUCAGGCAGGCGUGCGCCGGAAUACAUUAGCAUGGAAUAAUCGAACAGGACCGUGUUCCUUUUGUUGGUUUCUAAGGGCAUGGUAAUGAUUAAUAGGGAUAGUUUUUAAAAGGGGUGGCAUUAGUAUUUAAGAUUCAGAGGUGAAAUUCUUUGACAUAAUUAAAGACUAACUUAUGCGAAAGCAUUUGUCAAGAAUGUUUUCAUUAA
RNAcentral lists this ribosomal RNA (387 nucleotides) under uncultured eukaryote. Its description in RNAcentral is "partial 18S ribosomal RNA". It matches the Rfam family "Eukaryotic small subunit ribosomal RNA", at positions 592 to 976 of the family's 1831-position model. The record is from RNAcentral.